This is a small nuclear RNA of Sorex fumeus (smoky shrew), 104 nucleotides long. NCBI's taxonomy places the organism in Eukaryota, Metazoa, Chordata, Mammalia, Eulipotyphla, Soricidae. The record is from RefSeq and is a predicted model, not a curated record.
CUGCUUCGGCAGCACAUAUACUAAAAUUGGAACCAUACAGAGAAGAUUAGCAUGGCCCCUGCGCAAGGAUGACACGCAAAUCAAAAUAAGAUGAGUGCUAUUCU